This 836-nucleotide long non-coding RNA is filed under the name Pan troglodytes (chimpanzee). RNAcentral describes it as "lncRNA (ENSPTRG00000054373.1)". The record is from RNAcentral. Lineage: Eukaryota; Metazoa; Chordata; Mammalia; Primates; Hominidae.
AGUAGCUGGGACUGUAGACCCAGGCCACCACCACACCUAAUUUUUUUUUCUUUUUUAGACACAGAGUCUUGCUGUGUUGCUCAAGCUGACCUCCAACUUCUAGGCUCAAGUGAUCCUUCCACCUCGACCUCCCGAAGUGUUGGAAUAACAGGUGUGAGCCUGCACCCCAGCCUAAUUCCACCAUUAAUUUGUCUCAGCAACUCCUUUGUUGCCAACUUUUACCGGACCCAUGGGUCUGAAAGAGAAGCACAGUCCAUAGUGUUCCAGCUUUGAGUGUGGCUCUCUCAGAAGCAGACCCAUUUACUGUUGUCCAGUGGCCUGCCAAGACCUUUAGGUGAAGAUGCUGACUCCCUCGCCGGCUCUUCUUCAUUCUUUUCAAACACACGUCAGAGUGGAACGCACAUCCCUUUUGCUUCACCUUCCAGGGAGAGAACGAGUCUUGAAGCAUCAACAGCUCUUUGAACACUUCCCAGGAAGACUAUUCAAGGACAUGUCUACUGGAAUCAGAAUUUUUUCCUUGGAGAUGGAGAGCUCCAAAACCCACAGUGCUUGGAAGUGAGUAUUGUGUGGUUGGAGAUAGUUUGCAGACUUUAGAUGGUAGCUGUGGAUGGUGAACUGAAAGUCAUCCUCAGCUUAAUGAUGAGUUGUCAUUUAUAAAAGAUAUCCAAAUUUUUUAUUGCAAUUAUUGUAUAGAAGUGAUCUCACAUCUGUUCUCCUUUUCUCUGCCUCCCAAAGGUAUUAUACAGAAACACAUUGUACAAAAUGUUACUCUUUGAGGAGUUUCAUUUGUUUCAUUACUUUUUUUCUUUGUACCUUUUAUAAAAUUUUAAAAUGGU